ACCGCUGAGUUUAAGCAUAUCAAUAAGCGGAGGAGAAGAAACUUACGAGGAUUCCCUAGUAACGGCGAGCGAACCGGGAACAGCCAGCUUGAGAUCGGGCGGCCGCGCCGUCGAAUUGUAGUCUGGAGAAGCGUCCUCAGCGGCGGACGGGCCAAGUCCCUGGAAAGGGGCGCCGGGGAGGUGAGAGCCCGUCCGGCCGGACCCUGCCGCACACGAGGCGCUGUCGGCGAGUCGGGUUGUUUGGAAUGCAGCCCAAUCGGGCGGUAAACUCCGUCCAAGGCUAAAUACGGGCGAGAGACGAUAGCGAACAAGUACGCGAGGGAAAGAUGAAAAGGACUUUGAAAAGAGAGUCAAGAGUGCUUGAAAUUGCCGGGAGGAAGCGGAUGGGGGCCGCGAUGCGCCCCGGCCGGAUGCGGAACGGCGCGAGCCGGUCCGCGCUCGGCUCGGGCGCGGACCGUUGCGGGCCGCGCCGGCGGCCUAAGCCGGCGGUCGAUCCGCCUCGGAGACCGCCGCCGGCGCGGCCGGGAAGCGGCGCGCGCCGCCACGGCGCGCCCCUCGGGGGCGCCAGCGCGCCAGCACCGGCCGCGGCUCCCAUCCGACCCGUCUUGAAACACGG
This 616-nucleotide non-coding RNA is filed under the name Ananas comosus (pineapple). RNAcentral describes it as "Eukaryotic large subunit ribosomal RNA". It matches the Rfam family "Eukaryotic large subunit ribosomal RNA", at positions 24 to 664 of the family's 3401-position model. The record is from Rfam by way of RNAcentral. Lineage: Eukaryota; Viridiplantae; Streptophyta; Magnoliopsida; Poales; Bromeliaceae.